This 465-nucleotide ribosomal RNA is filed under the name uncultured bacterium. RNAcentral describes it as "partial 16S ribosomal RNA". It matches the Rfam family "Bacterial small subunit ribosomal RNA", at positions 28 to 507 of the family's 1533-position model. The record is from RNAcentral.
GACGAACGCUGGCGGCGUGCUUAACACAUGCAAGUCGAACGGAAAGGCCCUGCUUGCAGGGUACUCGAGUGGCGAACGGGUGAGUAACACGUGGGUGAUCUGCCCUGCACUUCGGGAUAAGCCUGGGAAACUGGGUCUAAUACCGGAUAGGAGCCAUUUUUAGGGUGAUGGUUGGAAAGUUUUUUCGGUGUAGGAUGAGCUCGCGGCCUAUCAGCUUGUUGGUGGGGUAAUGGCCUACCAAGGCGGCGACGGGUAGCCGGCCUGAGAGGGUGGACGGCCACAAUGGGACUGAGAUACGGCCCAGACUCCUACGGGAGGCAGCAGUGGGGAAUAUUGCACAAUGGGCGCAAGCCUGAUGCAGCGACGCCGCGUGGGGGAUGACGGCCUUCGGGUUGGAAACUCCUUUCGCUAGGGACGAAGCUUUUUGUGACGGUACCUAGAGAAGAAGCACCGGCUAACUACGUG